Molecule: ribosomal RNA, 477 nt
Filed under: uncultured bacterium
Lineage: Bacteria
Description: partial 16S ribosomal RNA
Rfam family: Bacterial small subunit ribosomal RNA
Source: RNAcentral
GAUGAACGCUGGCGGCGUGCUUAACACAUGCAAGUCGAACGAGAAAUGGAGACGGAAACCUUCGGGCGGAAGGCUUCAUUUCGAGUGGCGGACGGGUGAGUAACGCGUGGGUAACCUGCCUCAUACAGGGGGAUAACAGUUGGAAACGACUGUUAAUACCGCAUAAGACCACAGCACCGCAUGGUGCGGGGGUAAAAACUCCGGUGGUAUGAGAUGGACCCGCGCUCGAUUAGCCAGUUGGCGGGGUAACGGCCCACCAAAGCGACGAUCGAUAGCCGAUUGGGGAGGAGGACCGGCCACAUUGGGACUGGGCCCCGGCCCAAACCCCUGGGGGGGGGAGCAGUGGGGAAAUUUGAACAAUGGGGGAAACCCUGAAGCGGCGCCGCCGGGUGGGGGAAGAAGUAUUUGGGUUUGUAAAGCUCUAUCAGCGGGGAAGAAAAGGACGGUACGGGGGAAAGAAACCCCGGCAAACUACGU